CGUGGGGUGGAGCAGUGGUAGCUCGCCAGGCUCAUAACCUGGAGGUCGCGGGUUCGAUCCCCGCCCCCACUA
Molecule: transfer RNA, 72 nt
Filed under: Gammaproteobacteria bacterium RIFCSPHIGHO2_12_FULL_63_22
Lineage: Bacteria; Pseudomonadati; Pseudomonadota; Gammaproteobacteria
Description: tRNA-Met
Rfam family: tRNA
About the family: Transfer RNA (tRNA) molecules are approximately 80 nucleotides in length. Their secondary structure includes four short double-helical elements and three loops (D, anti-codon, and T loops). Further hydrogen bonds mediate the characteristic L-shaped molecular structure. tRNAs have two regions of fundamental functional importance: the anti-codon, which is responsible for specific mRNA codon recognition, and the 3' end, to which the tRNAs corresponding amino acid is attached (by aminoacyl-tRNA synthetases). tRNAs cope with the degeneracy of the genetic code in two manners: having more than one tRNA (with a specific anti-codon) for a particular amino acid; and 'wobble' base-pairing, i.e. permitting non-standard base-pairing at the 3rd anti-codon position.
Source: RNAcentral